GGAAAGCCUUCUCCCUCAUUGCCCGCCGAGCCUCCCUUCUUGGCUGCGCCCUCUUUCCCUUCCCCUCCUUGGGCUUAGCGGCUUGCCGGAGGAAGCGCUUGAGGAACUCGCAGUCCUUGUAGAGGUGCUUGACGGGGUAGGCAUGGUUGGUGUAGGGACUCUCCAUGAGCUUGUCGAAGUGAUCAUGCUGGCCCUGUUGGGGUUGCCUGCCCGGGCGGUCGGUCGCGGUGACCAGGGCCGGGUUGGUCGGGCAGCACUGAUCCUUCUUAUUCUUCUUGCCCCGCUGGGUGGAGGGUCCCUCGUCCUGGACCUCUCGCUUUGCCUUGCCCUUGUCCUAACCGUUGCUGAAGACCACCCCGACCACCUCCUCACUGGAGGCGUGGUUCGUGUCAAUGUCGAGCAGCUCCCGGGUGGUCCGGGGCUUCAC
This 427-nucleotide long non-coding RNA is filed under the name Setaria viridis. RNAcentral describes it as "long non-coding RNA (SVIR_LNC010329)". Lineage: Eukaryota; Viridiplantae; Streptophyta; Magnoliopsida; Poales; Poaceae. The record is from RNAcentral.